RNAcentral lists this ribosomal RNA (465 nucleotides) under uncultured bacterium. RNAcentral describes it as "partial 16S ribosomal RNA". It matches the Rfam family "Bacterial small subunit ribosomal RNA", at positions 28 to 507 of the family's 1533-position model. The record is from RNAcentral.
GACGAACGCUGGCGGCGUGCUUAACACAUGCAAGUCGAACGGAAAGGCCCUGCUUGCCGGGUACUCGAGUGGCGAACGGGUGAGUAACACGUGGGUGAUCUGCCCUGCACUUCGGGAUAAGCCUGGGAAACUGGGUCUAAUACCUGAUAGGUGCCCUUUUUAGUGUGAUGGUUGGAAAGUUUUUUCGGUGUUGGAUGAGCUCUCGGCCUAUCUGCUUUUUGGUGGGGUAAUGGCCUACCAAGGCGGCGACGGGUAGCCGGCCUGAGUGGGUGGACGGCCAAAUUGGGACUGAGAUACGGCCCAGACGCCGACGGGGGGCAGCAGUGGGGAAUAUUGCACAAUGGGCGCAAGCCUGAUGCAGCGACGCCGCGUGGGGGAUGACGGCCUUCGGGUUGUAAACUCCUUUCGCUAGGGACGAAGCUUUUUGUGACGGUACCUAGAUAAGAAGCACCGGCUAACUACGUG